This is a ribosomal RNA of 182 nucleotides. It matches the Rfam family "Bacterial small subunit ribosomal RNA", at positions 1 to 176 of the family's 1533-position model.
UAAUUGAAGAGUUUGAUCAUGGCUCAGAUUGAACGCUGGCGGCAGGCCUAACACAUGCAAGUCGAGCGGUAGCACAGGAGAGCUUGCUCUCUGGGUGACGAGCGGCGGACGGGUGAGUAAUGUCUGGGAAACUGCCUGAUGGAGGGGGAUAACUACUGGAAACGGUAGCUAAUACCGCAUGA